AGCGAACGCUGGCGGCAGGCUUAACACAUGCAAGUCGAGCGGGCACUUUCGGGUGUCAGCGGCGGACGGGUGAGUAACGCGUGGGAACGUGCCCUCUGGUUCGGAAUAACUCAGGGAAACUUGAGCUAAUACCGGAUACGCCCUUUUGGGGAAAGGCUUGCUGCCGGAGGAUCGGCCCGCGUCUGAUUAGCUAGUUGGUGAGGUAACGGCUCCCCAAGGCGACGAUCAGUAGCUGGUCUGAGAGGAUGAUCAGCCACACUGGGACUGAGACACGGCCCAGACUCCUACGGGAGGCAGCAGUGGGGAAUAUUGGACAAUGGGCGCAAGCCUGAUCCAGCCAUGCCGCGUGAGUGAUGAAGGCCUUAGGGUUGUAAAGCUCUUUUAUCCGGGACGAUAAUGACGGUACCGGAGGAAUAAGCCCCGGCUAACUUCGUG
RNAcentral lists this ribosomal RNA (435 nucleotides) under uncultured bacterium. RNAcentral's name for it is "partial 16S ribosomal RNA". It matches the Rfam family "Bacterial small subunit ribosomal RNA", at positions 29 to 507 of the family's 1533-position model. The record is from RNAcentral.